GACAUAGUUUCUCUGUCUAACCAAGGAUGUCUUAGUUUUAACUAAAUUUGGAUGCAUCUAUACACUAAGUCAUGUCUAGAUACAUCUAAAUUUUAACAAAUUUGAGACAUCUUUUGUUGUACGGAGGGAGUAGUAC
This is a non-coding RNA of Brachypodium distachyon (stiff brome), 136 nucleotides long. The record is from Rfam. NCBI's taxonomy places the organism in Eukaryota, Viridiplantae, Streptophyta, Magnoliopsida, Poales, Poaceae.